GCGGGUAUAGCUCAGUCGGUCAGAGCGUCACAUUCCCAAUGUGAAGGUCGAAGGUUCGAGUCCCUCUAGCCGCUCUA
This 77-nucleotide transfer RNA is filed under the name Segatella copri. RNAcentral describes it as "Prevotella copri tRNA-Gly". It matches the Rfam family "tRNA". Rfam says of the family: Transfer RNA (tRNA) molecules are approximately 80 nucleotides in length. Their secondary structure includes four short double-helical elements and three loops (D, anti-codon, and T loops). Further hydrogen bonds mediate the characteristic L-shaped molecular structure. tRNAs have two regions of fundamental functional importance: the anti-codon, which is responsible for specific mRNA codon recognition, and the 3' end, to which the tRNAs corresponding amino acid is attached (by aminoacyl-tRNA synthetases). tRNAs cope with the degeneracy of the genetic code in two manners: having more than one tRNA (with a specific anti-codon) for a particular amino acid; and 'wobble' base-pairing, i.e. permitting non-standard base-pairing at the 3rd anti-codon position. Lineage: Bacteria; Pseudomonadati; Bacteroidota; Bacteroidia; Bacteroidales; Prevotellaceae. The record is from RNAcentral.